UCCUUGAGCAAGUAUCCCAUGCCCCGCAGAAAGAUGACGGGCAUCCUGACGCGAAGAGAAUUGUGGGAUUGGCCUGGCUCUCGCGCCCCUCUGAGAGAUGGCGAACGAUCAGGUCACUUUAGUUUUAACGGCGUUGGAGGGCCGUUCACAAACGUAAAGUGGUCCCAACUUCUCCACCUGUACUUUCUGCUGAGAAACCAAGAGGACUGCAAGGAGGCAGAUGGAUUACAAUAAGGGAAAAUGCAAGAUUAUUCAGUGAGAGAAAGAACUGGAGCCACCUCUUGCAUUACCUGAUCUGAUCUCCUGCAUCCUUUUGCACAGAUUACUGUGUACUGAAACUGAAUUGAACGAGACCCCAUUCUGAACCUCUAAAUCAGGGGUCGGCAACCCGCAGCUCCGGAGCCGCAUGCGCCUCUUUCAUCUCUGUGCUGCGGCUCCCCGUGGUUUGUUAGUUUUUGAAAUGUAAUUCGAAAUUUGAAGAUUAUGGUGAUCUUGUACAAUCUAAAAACGUUGUGGAGACCCCAUUUCCUGGCACAUCCGAACCGGCUCACAAUUAGCCGCCGUUCCGGCUAAGGGAGAUAGCCUACGGAGGUUUGUGAGUAUGUGUCUUUUGGAGCAUCCGCGCCCACGGGGACGGGUUGAGGGAGGCUUUAAAGCAAGGCUGUUUAGUUUGAAUAAAGUUACCUUUGACUGCAGUGUCUUUAUUUUAGCGCUGCGUGUAGCGCUACACCGCUACAACGUGUUUUUUAUCGCUAUUAAUAUACAUCACCACUGCCAAUGCCUGACA
Molecule: long non-coding RNA, 787 nt
Organism: Hypanus sabinus (Atlantic stingray)
Lineage: Eukaryota; Metazoa; Chordata; Chondrichthyes; Myliobatiformes; Dasyatidae
Exons: 3
Source: RefSeq, a predicted model, not a curated record